Molecule: non-coding RNA, 428 nt
Organism: Cinara cedri
Lineage: Eukaryota; Metazoa; Arthropoda; Insecta; Hemiptera; Aphididae
Source: the annotation of a GenBank genome assembly
AAUAACCGAGCAUUCGCGAUGCACUGUCCCGCCGUUUUCUGACACUUUUAUCGGCCCCACCCCGACCGAACGGUCUUAAACUCAGGAACAGGAGUUCUAUUUUUUUUUUUUUGUUUAAUAUAUAGGCGGAUUAAAGCGAUACAGUUCGGGUCGGAUUUCAAUAAGAUUUUCGCCUUGACGUGUUGUCGCGGAAAGUAUCGAGAAUGCAUCUAUCGGAGGUAUAAACAGACUUUUAACUAUUGACGCGCUCGGAUCGCGGGCUUCGAAAACCGGGCGAUUACAUUUUGGAUCGUUUCGGAACAAGUCGGGCCUCAGGGAAAUUCGACCAACGGCGACCAUCCGAAAGUCGACGGCACCCAUUGUCUGUAAAUAACCCGUGCGCCUGUAUAUUAAUAUUGUAUCCGAAUAUAUUCUAGUCUAGUCGUUUU